GGGCUUGGGGGCUUGCUCCCAGGUUAGUGGCGAACGGGUGAGUAAUAUAUCGGAACAUAUCCGGAAGUGGGGGAUAACGUAGCGAAAGUUACGCUAAUACCGCAUAUGCCCUGAGGGGGAAAGGGGGGGAUCGCAAGACCUCUCGCUUUCGGAGUGGCCGAUACCGGGUUAGCUAGAUGGUGAGGUAAAGGCUCACCAUGGCGACGAUCCGUAGCGGGUCUGAGAGGACGACCCGCCACACUGGAACUGAGACACGGUCCAGACUCCUACGGGAGGCAGCAGUGGGGAAUUUUGGACAAUGGGCGCAAGCCUGAUCCAGCCAUACCGCGUGAGUGAAGAAGGCCUUCGGGUUGUAAAGCUCUUUCAGCCGGAAAGAAAUUGCUUCUAUUAAUACUAGGAGUAGAUGACGGUACCGGAAGAAGAAGCACCGGCUAACUACGUGCCAGCAGCCGCGGUAAUACGUAGGGUGCGAGCGUUAAUCGGAAUUACUGGGCGUAAAGCGUGCGCAGGCGGUUUGGUAAGACAGAUGUGAAAUCCCCGGGCUUAACCUGGGAACUGCAUUUGUGACUGCCAGACUAGAGUGUAGCAGAGGGGGGUAGAAUUCCACGUGUAGCAGUGAAAUGCGUAGAGAUGUGGAGGAAUACCGAUGGCGAAGGCAGCCCCCUGGGCUAACACUGACGCUCAUGCACGAAAGCGUGGGGAGCAAACAGGAUUAGAUACCCUGGUAGUCCACGCCCUAAACGAUGUCAACUAGGUGUUGGGGAAGGAGACUUCUUUAGUACCGCAGCUAACGCGUGAA
Molecule: ribosomal RNA, 799 nt
Filed under: uncultured bacterium
Lineage: Bacteria
Description: bacterial SSU rRNA
Rfam family: Bacterial small subunit ribosomal RNA
Source: RNAcentral